UACAGAGGGGGCAAGCGUUGUUCGGAAUUACUGGGCGUAAAGGGCGCGUAGGCGGCCUGCUAAGUCGAACGUGAAAUCCCUGGGCUCAACCCAGGAACUGCGUCGGAUACUGGAUGGCUUGAAUUCGGGAGAGGGAUGCAGAAUUCCAGGUGUAGCGGUGAAAUGCGUAGAUAUCUGGAGGAAUACCGGUGGCGAAGGCGGCAUCCUGGACUGACAUUGACGCUGAACGGCGAAAGCUAGGGGAGCAAACGGG
This 253-nucleotide ribosomal RNA is filed under the name uncultured bacterium. Its description in RNAcentral is "partial 16S ribosomal RNA". It matches the Rfam family "Bacterial small subunit ribosomal RNA", at positions 524 to 776 of the family's 1533-position model. The record is from RNAcentral.